Molecule: long non-coding RNA, 456 nt
Organism: Lotus japonicus
Lineage: Eukaryota; Viridiplantae; Streptophyta; Magnoliopsida; Fabales; Fabaceae
Exons: 4
Source: RefSeq, a predicted model, not a curated record
ACAUAAACCCUAAUUGUUUUCAUCUAUAUAAACUCUCUUAUGUAAUUCUUCUCCUCUAUCAUUCCAUUAUUUAACCAUCAUCUAAGAGCUUUGAAAUAACUAUUGUUGUGAUGACUGGGAAAUUGAGAAGCAAAUGUUGAAAAAGCAAAAAAAGUUCAGGCCUCAUCACCAUGAGACUUUUAUUGCGAAUUGGAAUUGGGGAUGGUGAGCUUAUAUGGAAGAUUCUUCAAGAGUGAAUACAACAUGUGAGGUUUUUGCCCUCUUCUUGCUUUCUGUUAGAUUUUGCUGAAUUUUUCUGUUUGUUUUUCCAGAGUGGCUUGGUUGAGUUUUGUUCUACAAUUAAAAACCAAAGAAGAGAUACGAGGAAGGAGAGAUUUUGGUUGAUGAUGACAGUGUUGAACAGUUGCGGCUUACAUAAUUAGUAUUAAGUGAUGAUAGUUCAGAUCCGUUCAUGAC